ACGGAACUCUUCGGAGUUCAGUGGCGGACGGGUGAGUAACGCGUGAGAAUCUGCCUAGAGGAUGGGGACAACCACGGGAAACUGUGGCUAAUACCCAAUGAGCGGAGACGUUAAAGAUUUAUCGCCCCUAGAGGAGCUCGCGUCUGAUUAGCUAGUUGGUGGGGUAAAAGCCUACCAAGGCGACGAUCAGUAGCUGGUCUGAGAGGACAACCAGCCACACUGGGACUGAGACACGGCCCAGACUCCUACGGGAGGCAGCAGUGGGGAAUUUUCCGCAAUGGGCGAAAGCCUGACGGAGCAAUACCGCGUGAGGGAGGAAGGCUCUUGGGUCGUAAACCUCUUUUCUCAGGGAAGAAGAAAGUGACGGUACCUGAGGAAUCAGCCUCGGCUAACUCCGUGCCAGCAGCCGCGGUAAUACGGAGGAGGCAAGCGUUAUCCGGAAUUAUUGGGCGUAAAGCGUCCGUAGGUGGCUCUUCAAGUCUGCUGUCAAAGAGUGGGGCUUAACUCCAGAAAGGCAGUGGAAACUGAAAGGCUAGAGAGCCGUAGGGGUAGAGGGAAUUCCCGGUGUAGCGGUGAAAUGCGUAGAGAUCGGGAAGAACAUCGGUGGCGAAAGCGCUCUACUGGACGGUAUCUGACACUGAGGGACGAAAGCUAGGGGAGCGAAUGGGAUUAGAUACC
Molecule: ribosomal RNA, 678 nt
Filed under: uncultured cyanobacterium
Lineage: Bacteria; Bacillati; Cyanobacteriota
Description: bacterial SSU rRNA
Rfam family: Bacterial small subunit ribosomal RNA
Source: RNAcentral